UGCGUAACACGUAUGUAACCUACCUUAAUCUGGGGGAUAGCCUCUCGAAAGAGAGAUUAACACCGCAUAACAUGUUUGAAUAGCAUUAUUUAAACAUCAAAUAUUUAUAGGAUUAAGAUGGGCAUGCGGAACAUUAGCUAGUUGGUAAGGUAAUGGCUUACCAAGGCUACGAUGUUUAGGGGAUCUGAGAGGAUGACCCCCCACACUGGUACUGAGACACGGACCAG
This 227-nucleotide ribosomal RNA is filed under the name uncultured bacterium. Its description in RNAcentral is "partial 16S ribosomal RNA". It matches the Rfam family "Bacterial small subunit ribosomal RNA", at positions 107 to 334 of the family's 1533-position model. The record is from RNAcentral.